This 242-nucleotide ribosomal RNA is filed under the name uncultured Actinomycetales bacterium. RNAcentral's name for it is "partial 16S ribosomal RNA". It matches the Rfam family "Bacterial small subunit ribosomal RNA", at positions 88 to 334 of the family's 1533-position model. The record is from RNAcentral. Lineage: Bacteria; Bacillati; Actinomycetota; Actinomycetes; Actinomycetales.
UACUCGAGUGGCGAACGGGUGAGUAACACGUGGGUGAUCUGCCCUGCACUUCGGGAUAAGCCUGGGAAACUGGGUAUAAUACCGGAUAGGACGAUGGUUUGGAUGCCAUUGUGGAAAGUUUUUCGGUGUGGGAUGAGCUCGCGGCCUAUCAGCUUGUUGGUGGGGUAAUGGCCUACCAAGGCGUCGACGGGUAGCCGGCCUGAGAGGGUAUACGGCCACAUUGGGACUGAGAUACGGCCCAG